CUGACUUUAAUUUUAUUGGGGAUUUGGUUUCCGGUCUUCUCUGGUGUUGGACCCUUUGUUUGAUUUUAUUGGCUGUUUUGUUUCCGGUCUUCUCCGUUGUCGAACCCUUUGUUGGUCAGCGUUUUGUUCUCAUCUUGCCAUCGUUGGGAUCAAAAUUUGAAGGUCAGUUUGUUUUCAACGUUUUAUCUUUAUUUUUUGAUCUCUAGGGUAAGAAAUUUAAGCUCUUUGUUUAUUUUUUUAUUUUUUUUUUACGGAUCUGGAGGUUGGGACAAAUUUUUUGUCAAAUUGAAGGCUGAUCAUGUGCUACCUCUUCAGAUUAUUGAUAAAGAAAUUAUAUUGAGCUUAGCUAUGUUUAAAACAACUAUGUGCAAUUUUUUAUUCUUAGUUUGUGUUUAUUUGAAAGGAGCCUUGCCAAAUUGGUUUUAUCUGUUGUGUUUACGAUGGUUCUAAUAAAUUGGUUUUCCAUGUGAGUAAUUUUUUGGUCCAGAAUUGUAUAUGUUUGGAAGAAAGUCUGAUAUAAGUUGAGUUGGUAAUGUUUUUUCGCUUUGCUUCUGAUUGGUGUGUGUGGUUGCUUCAGAUCUUGAUCGUUUUUUAAGAACGGAGACUCGAUUUGUUCUUAUUGGUGUGUGUGGUUACUUCAGAUUUUAAUCGUUUUUUAAGAAGAGAAACUCAGUGUGCUUUCCACUUAUUUUAUGGAGUUGUCUUCGUUAUUGGUUUGAGUCAGUAAUGAGCGAGGAAAAAGCUUUGAAAAGGAAAGUAUUCAAAAUUAGUUAAGGGUUUUACAAAAAUUUAAAAGCUUAAAUACUUAAAUACAGCUUUCUUUAGAUUAGUAUGCAGAAAUCAAAAGGCUUUGAAAGGCACAUUGUUUAAAAUCAUUUGAAGCUUUUACAAAGGUUUGAGAGCUUCAGUGAUUAAUUAGUGCUUAGUUAUGAAUUCAACCAUAUGUUUAGUUAAAUUAAACAAUGAUGUAAUGUUGAAUUAAGGUGUGUGAUUCAAUUACCAUUGUGAAGAUUAGCACUUUUUAUAUUGGGGAUUAAGAACAUUGAUGGUGGCAAUUUUUCUGAAUGGUGAGGUAUUUCGUUUGCUUUCGUUGUCAAAUAGUGUUCUCACAUGGGUGGAGAACAAUACAUAUAUUUUAUAUGGUAGAUCAAUAACAAACACUCUGUUUGGUUCUAAUUUUUGGAUAAUUUGGUAUUAUUCCAGAGAUAAUGCAGACAAGAAACUGUUAACUCUUAUUUAUUAAAUAGAUGUAUCGAAUAUGUUUUGCAUGGCAAAGAUCAUAUCUGUUUGGUUAAUGAUACAACUAUUCCAGCUUUUCUUAAUUGAGUGGAGUGUAUUGCAGGUCAUUAGGCUCCUUUUGCUUCCAAAGUUUUUGAACCUGACCGAAGUCAGUUUGCUGAAUCGCUUUUGCGUGUUAGUGAUGUAUGAUUUUCUUUUUUGCACAAUCAUGAUGAAAAACUGAAUUUGACUUAUUUGAUUUUGGGUUUUUGUUGUUCCUGUUGCUAAUUUUGUGUUUUUUUUUCCAGUUUUUUUUGGCAGUGAAAUCAUCGCUGCCACCUAACAAAUCUAGUUGCUGUAAUAUCAAUUGUUAUUGUUGGAGGGAGGUAAAGUUACUAUCUUGCUUUAUAAAGUGUAGGAUUUUUUAUUUUUUUUUUGUAUUUUUUUUUCUUUGUUUCUUUCUUUGGCUUCUCUAAAAUUCUGUUGGUAUAAUAGUUCAUUUUUUUUUCUGUGGCUUUGUACAAUAGUGUGUCGUGUUGAAACACACUGUUCAUUAUUGGUUAUAGUUAUUUGUUCUGUUUUCACACUUUUUUCAUACAAAAUGUUUAAUUGCUGACUCAUUCCUCUUUAAUGCCAUGUUAAAUUGUUUUGAAACUAAUAACGAGAUAAACAAACUCAGACAAUAUUAAGACUGCUCAGUGUCUGCUGUUCAUUGAAUAAGUGUUGAUAAUAUUGAUCCAGCGUAAAUUUUAUUCUUACACCAGUCUUAAUACUCAUUGAGAAAACCGUUUGGUGAUAAUCUAAGUAUUAAACAAGCAGAUACAGUUUUGGCAUCAAUUUCAAUUAUUGUAUUUAUUUUCUAUUUGGCCAAUUCAUGAUUUCUUUGGUUGAUAAAAGGAUGAAAGCAAAGAAGAUGCACAUUUUUAUCAGUUGUUAUAUUAAUUUAUUAUUUUUUUUAUUAAAUUUGUAAUUCCAUUGUCCAGAGUGACUUCAAAACAAGGUUUAAAUUUUUUAAUAACAAACGGAGAAAAUAAUGUUGACAAUUAUACUUUGAAUAUAGUGUUUAAAGAUUUCUUACAAAUUUAUAAUUACGUGCUUCGCUUUAUGACCUCAUAGGUAAAAAAAUUUAUAUUUAUUUAAAUAUAAUUGAAUAACAUGUACAAUGCUAUUUAUCUAUAAUUUUCUGAUUACUGCUAAACAUAAUCAAUGUCUUCUUUUUGUAUAUGCAGAAUGAAAAACAGAUUCUUUGCAAGCAUCACACAAAGGCCAUCAUUUAUUCUGUAUGAAGACCACAGGUUAAUUCAGUCUUAAUUGAUUUUUUAUUUAUUUAAUACAAAACGUAUUAAAUAAUAUAUCCAUUUCUAUAUUCAUUUUGUCACGAUGCUGUUCUAGCAUCUAUUUCUGCUUUUCAAGUUUUCCAUUGUGAAAUUACAAUAUUGGUAUUUGAUUUUCGUAUUUGAUAAACUGUUCACGUCCCAUUGGUUCUGUUAUAGAAACUUGCACAUUUUCACAGGUUCUGUAUAACAAACAUAUCUAUAUGUAUUUAUUUCUUUGAUUGAAUUGUUUUAUUUUCAGAUUUGUAGCCAAUGAUCUUUUACCGAUUGUCUAAGAGCUUCCAUAGGACUUGCUCUGUGCUAUUCCUUUGCGGUAACCUCCAUUAGGGAUGAAAAAGCUACAAACGACAUUGUAAGUCUCAAAAGGUUUAAGAAAUUUUAAAUCUUUUCAUCACAUGGUUUUCAAAAUUUUCAUUAUGUUUGAAUUUGUAUCUGAUUUCAUAUUCUAGCGAGUUCAUCGUUGAUUUGUCAUCUUUGUCAUAUGAAAUGAUAGAGAACAGUUUUCUAGAUGCAAUGUUCAUUUAUUCUUAAUCAUAAAUUUAAUUUAAUUUUGUAGGUUCACCUUUUUCCAAAAGAAAAUUAAUCUGAAAAUCCAACUGAGGUGUAAAUCCCUGCGUUUACUUAACGUUUAUAAUUCAUCCUUCCCCACCCUGUAUCCCAAAUUACAAUUGAAGACUUCAACGGUAUGUACCAACAAUUCAAGCUUUAUUCCCUUUUUUUACUUAAUAUUUUAAUUUUACAUUCAAUCUUUACUAACAUUUUUUCUCAGGAGAAUUGGUUGUUACCAAUAUACAUAAUGACUAUCUUCUUUUGACUUACUCUAGAAUACAUGACUAAUCCCUUCCCUGAUCACUGAGAAGUUUACUUCAAUAUCUAAAAGUAUUAGCCAAGACGUUCCCAUUACAAAUAUACCAUGUCCACAUGGCUUAAUUCAACAAAAAAACAUUUGGUAAUAGAUAAAUUGUUAAAUAUAUUUAUAUAUCAUUUUUAUUGGUUAUUGGCUCCAUUUAACAAUUCCUCUAUUUCUAAAAUCUUCUUUCAUUUAGUUAAAGCAUGUGAAACAAUUACAUCUUUGGUUAGACCAUCUUUGUUUAUACUUUUAGACAUCCAUCUUAAACCCCUCAGUGAUUAGCACAGUCAUUAGCCAUGUAUUACAACUAAGCCAAUAGAAGAAAGUCUUUACCUACAAAUUGGUAACAAUUGAUUCUUCUGAGAAGAUGAUCGUUUGUCCGAAUUAUGCAAGUUGAAAUAACUUAGCAACUUAUACCUCUGUACUAUAUAGAACAGCGAACUAAACGUAUUUGGUCCAUUUUUGUAUACCGUCUCCUAUUUUUACAAAAAAAAUUUAUACAAAAUUGACUGUUAAUUAACAAUAUAAUUAUUCAAUUUGAUCACACAAUGCUUUUGACACACCCCGUCCCGAAGGAGGGCAUGCUGGCCGUCACGUGGGAGUGACGUAACCAUUUACACAGUACGGAAGCUUUAAAUUUACAACUCCUAAAAUGAUACACCCGAAGGUGAGUCCUAAUUUUGUCCAUUCUGUCAGAACACCUUGAAUUCCUCGUAGUCACCACACAUCAGCAAUCUUGAACCUGGAGGGGCGCAAAACCAAAUUAAGUGGGUCAGUAAAACAAAUCUUUUCCAAAUCCAAACAUUUCCCAAAACGUUGUAACCCCUCUCCGUAAAACUUGUAUACUUUCCCAGAAAUGUAAAAUAUCAAUAUAUAUAUAUAUUCUCAAAACUUCAAAUCACUAUCUCAACAUUUUUCAUUACAAUUAUGCCAUGCCAUGUCUAAAUUCAACAGUAUAAUAUGAAUGCAUCAACAUAAAUCAGGUGAAAGAAAAUAAUCAACCGGAGACCCUACAAUGGUCCUGUACGGCUGAAUGUAGAGCUCAAAAUCUCAUCUAACCGGAGUCACCAACUGUGACCUGUACGGCCAUGCCGAAGUCACCUAGUAUGACCUGUACGGCACUACACUGCACAUAAGUCGGAAUUACCUAAUGUAAUCUGUACGACUUAAUGGUGUAAUAAUAUGCUCUAGUGCUUUUCUCAUCAAUCAUUUGUGCACAUAAUCUAAGGUCACCUACCAGUCGGAACCCCUGUAAUGGUCUGUACGACUGGCAUGUCGGAACCACCCCCGGUGAUCUGUACGACUAGCAUCUACUUGGAUCCAAGGUGAGCAUACGAUGCAGGGUGAAUAAUAUAAGCACUAAUACCAAGUUGCAGUUUAUGAGCUCAACAUAUCUCAACAUCAUCAUAACAAUAAUAAUACUCACCUGUGCGUCCACCGCACCAUUUCACAUAUAUGCAUCAUACAACAAUUCAUAAUAUUCAUGAAAUUCUAUGCAUGGCAACCAACUAUAUUCCAUAUCACAAUUCAACAUACUUUUCAUUUAAGUUGAUUUCUGGGGAAAUCGGGUAUAUAGGUAUAUAUAUAGAAAGCAAUGCCCACUCACCUGGAGUUCGUCCAACAACUCCCUAGCACCACACAUCAAGGCGUCAUGACGAUCGCCGCCUAGAACAGUAAUCAAAUCCAGCCUCAGAAUUCAUAUCGAUAGAAUAUAUAACUUAUAUAAAAUACGUCACUACGUAGAUCGAUCCGGAAGAUCUGCCACUCAGAUUUUAAAUCCAUAACUUCCAGAGGUCCACAAUAUAUCUCUAGGACAACAUCCUAAAAUUUCAUCACCAUCCAACGGUCGGAUCUCCGUCAAUUAACAAAACUAAGUGACGAUUUACAUUCUAUUUUAUGAACUUACAACUCCAAUUCCGGAAGAUCCGUAAAUCGGAUUCCCAAUCCGUAAGUUCCUAUAAUCCUCAAAUAUUACGUAUUACAACGUAUCAAAGUUUGGUGACGAUCCAACGGUCGGAUCGUCAAUUCAUAUUUUCACCUAAAUGCAAAAACUAUAAAACGUUAUUUGAACACCUAACCAACAAUCCUUAAUAACUUUCUCAUACGGUGCUCAAUUUGGGUAUAUGAAUAUACCACAUUGACCUACUCGACGUCACGGACGUCGAAAAAUUUUUAAAAUAAUUUUUUACUGUAGCACGCGCCCCCACGCGCCAAGGAAGGCACGGGUCCACGCGCGCCCACGCGCACCUUCUUCCUCGCGAGUUCGCCGGACUGGUUUUUCUCCGGUGGCCAGAUUCUGGGAAAUUUUCAAAUGCCUCGUUCUCCUUCGUUUCUCACCCAUUUUCUUCGUAUAAUAUAUCAAAAUGAAGCCCCAAACAUGUAGAAUCACAAUAGACUACUUUUAAGCUUCAAAAACAACUAAAUCUCACCGGAAAAGUCGAAGCAAAACCGGCCAAACUUGCAGCUCGUGAUCCCGACGUCCAAUUCCUUCAAACGAAGCACUCCGAGCUUCCUUGGGACCUCACUAAGCUCACUGUGAGCUUGAAAUUCCCUGAAACAUCAAGAUUUACGUGUGCAUGAACAGUGCACUUUCACGGGGAGUUUAGAAUCUAGGUUUUCCGAAGUAAAACUUACCUGAAAUUGGUGUCUACGUGAUCGUGGAGGUUCCAGGAGUUCGAUGGUGGUCUUAACUCCGUCGUUGGUAGAAGUUUAGGGUGGUUUUGGAGUUUGUCCGUGUGAGUUCGAAGGAGAGAGACAGAGAAUGAGAGAUUGUGAGGGAGGAGAGAGAGACAGGGUACGGGAAAGAGGGAGAGAAUUGAGGGGUGUGGGAUCCUACCCAAUCCCCAACUACAAAUUCUAACAUAAAAUUUAAGUCUAAGUCUCCACUCUACUUACCAAAUUUUAGGAGCUUAGAUAUAACGAACGUAAAAAUUAUACCUUAGUCACGUAUUGGGGCAUUUUUGUAAUUUCAUGUCCUCGGAAUUAAAAAUUUCGGGACGGGCUGUGACAGCUUUAGUUCUAGGUUUUUUUUUUUUUCCCAAAGGUGCACCAAUAUAAGACUUUCGAUUAAACACCAACAUGAUUACGUUUGUGAUAAGACUGCAAUUAUACAAUUAGUAUUCGCUAAAUAUUACUUUUGAUAUAUGAGGUUCCUGAAAAAGAGAACGGAAGCAUAUUGUUAGCUUAGAUUUAUAUUUCUUAUUACUUUCAUGCAGAUUUUGAUUCCUGACAUUUUCGGUUCUAAAAACAAUUUGAUGCAUAAGAAUUUAUUCAUGCUUACUGUUAUUUUACAGCAUAACCCGUUAUUCUGUAAAGCAUCGCCUCCAAUCAUCAUUCAUUUGAAGGUACACCAUUCUAACACUAUCUUUUAUUUGCUUUGAUAAAAUUAUUUCUCAGCUGUUUAACUUAUAAACAAUGACAAUAUUAUUUCUUCCCUUGGUUAAAUAUUAAAUACCUAAACACUUUCCUGCGUGUUAACUGUCAAUUUACACACUUAACAACCCUUCACAAGCUCACAUUUGAAUCAACAUUUUUUCACACCGUACAACACAACUUUAACCCUUGAAUUACAAAUACAUUGUUUCUUACAAUUGCCCUCUUACUAGAACAAAACUGUACCAUUUGUUAUUUCUAUAUGUUUAUUCCUUCCUGUAAAUACGAUGAAGACACAUACAUGUUUGUAAAACUUUCUGCAAAUUUUAUGCAUUCACUUUUAAAACCCGCGGCAACGCGCGGGCACAAUUGCUAGUAUAUACUAAACGCCUAACAUUGUGGUUAAUUCCCUUUGUAUCCUUUUUACUGUUCAUUCACCAGUGUUCUUCCUUUUUUGCCCUUUCUUUGUUUCUGUCAUCACUGUUCAUUCUACAGUAGAAUGGCAUUUUCGUCCCUGCAGUGCAACAGGGGUUCUUUUAUUACGGUUGUGCCUGAAAUUGAAGGAGCGGAAAAACUAGGUUGUUCGGGAGACUUCUGUCUUUUGAUUUUGUCACCUGGCGGCUUAGCAUAGUGACACGUGUUGAUUGGGACGCGUGUCACUUUACCCAUCUCCUCUUUCUUUGCUUUUGCUUUUGCUUUGCUUUAGUUUUUUGUCUCCUCUUCCAGACUCCUCCCUUUUCCAUCGCGCUCUUCGAUCUCUGCUUUGUGUUCUUCGAUAUUUGCUUCGUGAUCUCUUCCAUCUCUGCUUUCUCCGUGAUUUCGUCUUUUCUGAUCGACUUCUAUUCGAAUUGAAAACCUUCUAGAUCUCUCUUCCCUAAAUUUCAGCAGCAAUUUUGCUCCAAAUCUUUCCAAUUGAAAAAACCCACAUCAUCAUCAUCUAUUCCUCAUCACCACAGGUACUUUCUACACCUAUUAUAUGUCCAAAUCUGUUCAAGUAUGUGAUUUGAUAUAAUUAGACUUCAGAAAAAACUUGAUUUUGUGGGUUAGAAAAAAUUUCGCUAAUUUUCUGGGUUCAUCCUCAUCACCAUCGACGCGGGCAAAGCUUCCCAAUUUGACCUCUUUCCGGAUUUUUCUAACCCAUCGUUUGGUUUCCGAGAGAAAAUAAUAAUUUAAUUAGAAAAACGUUUUUUUUUUGUUUUUUGCUUUGCUUUGAUGCAGAGAUUAAAGGCACAGAAGGAACCGUGUGCGCCGAAGGGUUCUUCAACAUUAAGAUUCAGAUACCCGAGGUUGGGUCAAGGAUUUUGCCUCUGAACUCAAUUCAGGUACACAUAGUCUUUCUCUACUUUGAUUCUCUCAUUAGUUCUUCGCUUGGGCACCGACAAAGUGUCAAACAUGAAAUUAUUGAAUUAGUUCGCAUGUUAUUUUCCACUACCUGAGCAACUGACGGAAAUCUAGGCCUGCCAUAUAACUAAUUGACUUCAAAUCUCAUCAAACAUCCUCAAUUUUUAUUUGUUUGUGGUUUAUCCACCCCCCUCCAUGUAUUUUAUUGACAUUUUUAGUUGAUCUGAAAAACAUGACAAAAAUCUUUACAAUUACGAUAUGUUGUUUAACAAAUGCAUGUGUGCAUUGUGCAAUUGUGUGGUGUAGAGCAUAAAAUUUCAUAUACUUCUCUAAAAAUUGGAUUCUUAUCGUUUCUCACAGGUGCCACACCCUCAUAUAUCAGUAGCUUGGCCAUUACCAAAAAAAAAAAAAAAAAAAAACUGGCGCUUUUGCUUGCCACUCAGGUUUGUCUCGAAAUUAGGUUGUUUUUUGUUCCGAUUUUUGUCCUUCAGUCAUGUUGUGUUUAUCCGUUUUUUAAUUGUUGAUACAGGGCUUGCAGAAAAAUUGUGAAAAACUGCAUUAAGGUACUCCCCCAAUGAAAUCGGCAAUCACCUGUUCACCCAAGGUCUCCCCCUAUUUCUCUUUCUCCUCACUUUCUCUCUAAAAUCUUUAUCCUUUUCAAAUUUAUUUGUCUAAUCUUUUUAAUUUGAAGUUUUCAGUCUUCUCUAUUAAUGCCAAAUAAAAAAAAAAUAGUAUUGGACUAAGACAUAGUUGUACUAAUGGAUCUCUAAUUCUAAUAAAUCUUGCAUGUUGGCCGAAGUGACAAUAGUCAGAGUUCCCCCUCUGUCUGUCUCUCUGAGUUUCUACUGAGACAUAGCUGUAUUAAUGGGUCUCUGAUCUUAAUAAAUUAAGGAUUCUCAACCCAUAUAUGAUUUUAGUUUUGGGUUUUUCUUUUUUUGAUAGCCAAGGUUAAUUAAUCCUUAAUACCUAUAUUAAUAAAUUUUGUUAUUAAUUUGAGCACAAAAGUCCUAAAUUAUUUUCUAAAUAUGGGGAGAGAUCUUUUUGCAUUGUUUUAAAGGAGCAUGAAAGUUCACUAUUGUAGGCCUAGCCAAAGUUAAUUAAUCCUUAAUACCUAUAUUAAUAAAUUUUGUUAUUAAUUUGAGCACAAAAGUCCUAAAUUAUUUUCUAAAUAUAGGGAGAGAUCUUUUUGCAUUGUUUUAAAGGAGCAUGAAAGUUCACUAUUGUAGGCCUCAUGUUCUGUUAAAUCUUUUUU
Molecule: long non-coding RNA, 9367 nt
Filed under: Malus domestica (apple)
Lineage: Eukaryota; Viridiplantae; Streptophyta; Magnoliopsida; Rosales; Rosaceae
Description: long non-coding RNA (MDOM_LNC017318)
Source: RNAcentral